UUUAGUCUGGAAAGGAAAGGAGCGGAGGACCUAUGGGGUCAAUGAUGUGCCUGAAAGCCUGACUUCCACCUAGGCAGGAUUUCACUCUGAGGUUCACCCUACACACUUUGCCGUGGCCGUCCAUUUUACCACGAGCCAUUUCGAUGCCAUUGCAUUUCCACGAGACAGCCUAGUCCUUGAUCCGUCAUAGAGUUACGGCCGUCCUUCAGACAGCAAGGGACAUCAAGGCUCUGCCUCCGGGCUGGGGGUGAGGAGCCAGCUGUGCUCCAGCUGUGACUUCGACCCAGGCAUCUGCAGCCCCAAGGUCUCUGCCCACAGAUUUCGUGAAAACCAGCUUGUAACUGAGAAGACGAAUAGUUUAUCUUCAGCUGCCCUAUUUACAUUACAAGAGUGCAACCAAGAAAUCAAUGCACUUAGCAGAAGAGAAAGCACCAGCCUGACCACUGCCAAAGGCAGGGCUGGUGGGUGAGCCCGGAGGAGGACGACGACGAGGAGAAGGAGAAAGUCGCUAUUUCCUAAGAAAAGUUUCA
Molecule: long non-coding RNA, 530 nt
Organism: Aquila chrysaetos chrysaetos
Lineage: Eukaryota; Metazoa; Chordata; Aves; Accipitriformes; Accipitridae
Exons: 3
Source: RefSeq, a predicted model, not a curated record